RNAcentral lists this small RNA (30 nucleotides) under Bombyx mori (domestic silkworm). RNAcentral's name for it is "ovarian small RNA-11498". Lineage: Eukaryota; Metazoa; Arthropoda; Insecta; Lepidoptera; Bombycidae. The record is from RNAcentral.
ACGCCGUGAUACUCCAGCGCCCUCGCGAUC